This 75-nucleotide transfer RNA is filed under the name Actinomycetota bacterium. Its description in RNAcentral is "Actinobacteria bacterium (soil metagenome) tRNA-Arg". It matches the Rfam family "tRNA". Rfam says of the family: Transfer RNA (tRNA) molecules are approximately 80 nucleotides in length. Their secondary structure includes four short double-helical elements and three loops (D, anti-codon, and T loops). The record is from RNAcentral. Lineage: Bacteria; Bacillati; Actinomycetota.
GCCCUCGUAGCUCAGGGGAUAGAGCGCCGGCCUCCGGAGCCGGGUGCGCAGGUUCGAAUCCUGCCGGGGGCACCG